UAUUUGACUAGUCAUCUAUAUUUCCAUUAAUUAUUAUUCAAAGGUAACCAAGGUGAAUCAAAAAGUACCCUUGUCGUCACAGUAUUACCAGGAACACUUGUUGGGAACAAAAGGAAAAUGCUAAUGUUUACUUGCUAUUUGAAUAAAGUUAUAAAUAUUAGAAUAUGAAGGAAAAUGACCUAUAAUCACAGAUGUGUAUGGUGUAAUCUCUCCUCCCAUUGACAGUUGCCAUCCAUGCCAACUCCACAUGCUAUUUCCUUUUAUCUGUUACUCUGCUGUGUUUGAAGAAACAUCCAAGCAUCAUAUCAUGAAUGACCUUCCCUCCUACUCCAGAGGCAAAGAUGUAACCUUUCCAGGCAUUGGCCAAUUCCGGUGUGAUAAAUAAAAUUAUCUUUAAAAUUGGAGUAUGACGUCACCACAUAGUAUGAUGGAAACAAAGAUAUAGCCAGUGCCCAUUUAUUCAGAAUGACAGGAAACUGUAUAACUGGAUAGUCUCAUUAGUUCCAUAUGUAAAUGAUAUCGUAUGGUAUUUUUCUUUCUCUUUCUGGCUUACUUCACUUGGAAUGAUCAUCUCCAGGUCCAUCUAUGUUGCUGCAAAUGGCAUUAUUUUACUCUUUUUAUGGAACCUGUCAUGAUGUUGAAAGCACCUAACGUGAAUUGACAGGAAUAGCUCCUAGAACAAUGAAGAAUCCCAAUUACAUGACUGAGGAAAAAGCACAAAAAUAGACGGGAGCUGCUCACAUAGAUCCCACCAAAGCUGGGCUGGUAAAUCGGAUCCAGGUAGAAGAGGAAACACACACUUAAUUGAAGAAAGGCAACGGCCGGCCCAUUAUCGUAGGCUCCAGCAGUUUUCCUGAUUGAGAGUACAAUCAGAACUCAGCAGAUGAUCCUUUUCCUUUCUUCUUAUCAGCUCAGUAUGCAGUUUCCACGACUUAGUUACCUUGGCCCUGUCACCGGGGUACAUGGCAAGACCAGAGGCCAAGCAAAGAUACUUUAAAGACAAUAAUGAUGACUGGAUAUUUACAGAAUGAAAGUCAAAAUUGUGCACUGCAAAAAAGAGAGAGGGAGUUUACAGAAAGAGGCCCAUAGCCAAAUUAAUUCCUUCUAAAACUGAGGUUUGUGUUACCUGGUCAUUAAGUCUGAGCUCAAAGAACUGAAGCUGACAGCUAAAUUAUAGGCAAAAGUCACUGUAAGGUACUGAUCUCAUAGCCUUUUCGCACCAAUCUAUGUAUGGGGCUAUUUUCUGUGUUUGGUGUGUUAAUCUGAUCCUGCCAGCUCUACCCAGGUAGAACUCCAGAUGAAGCCUGAGAAAUCAAUGGAGGAAUUGUACACAGACAGGAUUCAGGAAGGUAGAAAAGCAGGGUGGGGCUUAGGGCCCCUGGAAAGACAGCAGGCUUGAAUUGGGCCUUUGAUAUUAUAUCCAUUAAGUCUGACUAGCAUGACUGCCAACAACAUUCUGGUCCUGGAUUUGUAGAUUGAGCUAUGUCCCCUCUAACCACAAAGUGAGGGAACACAGGCAGCUUUUUCUUCAGUUAUAGCAAAUAACUGGUUGAUCAAGUUAAAUAUUUAUAGAAACACAAGAGAAGAGCAUGGCCCAGCAAUCUCUAAGUUUAGCAGUCUUACUAAAUGAAUUACCUUUAUUUCAGUUUUCUCAUUUCUGCUAGCAUCCUUAGCAAGAUUUAGCAAUGCCAGCUAAAUUUGAAUUUCAGUUAAAUAAUGAAUAGUGCUGUGGAAGUAUACCCUCUGCAACAGUUGGGACAUAUAUUCUUUUUUUUUUUUGUCUGAAAUUCAAAUUUAAUUGGGCAUCUUGCAUUUCAUCUGGCAGCUCUAAUUCUUAGUAAAGCAUGGAAGAUGGAACGGGGUGACGCUUCAUGUGGGAAUAUUCAUCACUGGAUGGAUAAAUUGGCACUGAGGUUUUCCAUGCUAUGGUUCAUUAUAGACCAAAUGAGAUCAGUUUAUUGUUUCUUAUAUAGACACACAUAAUUAAUUCAGAAUAAUUGGGGAAGGCCAGUCUGAAAUAGUAAAAUAUUUUAAAGUAAAUGAUACAGUUUAAGGAAAGGAAUCUUACAGACUCCAGUCAAUUGACAGGCACUCAAAAAUAUAUAUUAAAAGAAUUAUGUGAGAUAAAUUGUCCAUUACUGUAUAGUUGGCUUGGUUAUUUAAUUAAUUCCAAUUGAAGCUAAUAAAGUAGUAAGUUUAUUCCCUUGAAUAAAACAGGUAAUUGUCAUGUAAAGCCACUUGAGAUGGAAAGCAAAAUAGAAAGUAGGAAAUAAUAAAAGAUUAUUAGACAAAGAUUAAAGGGAAAAUCUCUCCUCUUGAAAUUAAUACAAGAUAAUAACAACACUAUUGAACACUUACUAUUUUUCAUAUAUUUGGGUUGCACAUUUUGCCAGGCACUUUAUAUACAUCAGCUCAUUUUGUCUUUUAAUCCUCACAAUAACCUUAUGCUAUAGAUACUCCUUCGGUCUCUGUUUUAUAGAUAAGGAAAUCGGGGCUUAAGACUGAUUAAGAAAAGUUACACAGAGGCAGGCCCUAGUCCUUAAUCCAGAUUUUCAUAAAAUUCCACACUCGGAGCCAUUAAGUAAUAUCAACCCCAACAAGUAAAAGACCAAUUUGAUGUAAACUUGACAAUAGGACAUAGGUUAGAAUAAAAUAAGAAGUAACUAAGGUUGAAAGACUCAGAAAUCAGGACACACAAGCAUAGAAAAUAUAAAUGAAGAGGACAAAUUAAGAACCUGUCAGUCUAUUUUCCAAUGUAACUGGAGAUUACUUAUGACCAUAAGGUGGCUAGAAUCUUGUGCUAGAGAAGUGAACGAUGUUACUGUGCAGUUUAAGAAAGCUCCCAAAGUGAAUCAGAAAUACCCUACUGGUGGAGAACGACUGCUUUGGACAGAUGCACUUUACUAAUACAUACAAGUGAUUCAUUAGGCUGCCAUAUGUUGGGAAUAUUGAUUGAGACAUAGGGUUGAAUGUGACAGGAAUGGCACUUUUGUCAUUAAUUAUCACUAUGGAAAAUGGCUUCCAUUUGGGGUGGCUACCAAGGACUCAUUGGGCAUGGAUAGAGCACAUGUUAGGAAAACAUCCUUUUGUGAAAAUAGAAUACAUUAUUAAAGUUGCUGAUGGCUUAAUCAGCUAUACAGUGUCAGGAGGAAAUAAAAAUUUGAGUAUCCAAAAAGAUCAACACAGGAAAGAAAUAAACAUCUAAAUGUAAUAGUAUACCUUUUAUAAAGUGCUUACUUGCUUUGAAAUUAAAACUUUAAUGCCUUGCAUGAGUUUUCUCUCCCAAGAUUUAGAAGUCACAAAAUAGUACCAUUCCCUUCCCUUCCUGGGUUCAAAACCACCUGAGACAAAGGCACAGAGCUCAGAUAGUAUGGUAUGUUUUAUUAUAAUAAAUUUCUGAUUGGAAGGCAUGACUUGUCUUAGAUUUAUGGCCACAACAGGCCUCCUCUACUUCACCCUUGAAUUAGACAAAUGUUCCAGCCAGUAACAAGCAGUUCUGGGCAAUCAUAGGCCUGAUCUUGCAGGUUUAUAACAUGGAGAAGUAGAAAAUUAAUACUUCUGGCAGGCAAGUUGCAACCCAAAGUGAAAGAGGACACAUAUAAAAUGGCACAUUCUAAGCAGUUUUUUCAAACUCAAUAAACAAACAACUUCUCUUUCCCAGGAACAGUGAUGAGGGGCUGGGAAGAGGCCAGGAAUGUCACUGGAGCUGAAAAGAAAUGGAGAUUCUCCCAAAACAUGGACCUUUCUCCAUCCUAUUCAAGCUGAAGCCUCAGUUGAUGAAGUCAUUCAGCAACUUUAGAGAGUCAAAGCAACUAGAACCUUUGGAAUCAAGAUUUGAUACUAUUUGAAUUUUGCAGUAAAAAUAACUAUAGCAGGAACACUUACUUAAUGCUUAUCAUAUGGCAGGCCCUAUUCUAAACCCUUUACAGAUAUCAUUUCAUUUAAUCCUUCCAAUUAUCCUAUGAGGGAGAUUCUAUUAUGGUCCACAUUUUACAGUUUGGGAAACUGAGGCACAGAACAGUUAAGAAUAAUCCUCCAUAUUUUGGCCAGUGGUCCUUCUACUGUAAGUCCCCUUGCCUUCCACCUGUGCGGGAUCAGAGACCCAGGAAAUUUUGGCACAAUUUUCUGCAUUUGUUCUUUAGACAAUAGGCCUUCGUUUGGUCUCUGUCCUCAAAUGCUGCAUCCUACAUGGGAUUCGAUAAGCCUUAGGCUUUUUCUAAACCAGGCAGUUUCCUUCCCUGGUCUUUGUAUCCACCUUCAUUCACAAAGAUGCUCCAACUGUUAAAAUUUCCCUCAACAGAGGGGCUGUGUAUCUGCCUUCUUUCUAAUCUUUCUGAAUUUGCCAGUCUAACUUUUCUAGAUUUCUUAUCCACAAGCAUUUGCUCAAGUCGUCUGCAGAUCUCUCAGGCAAAACAGGAUGCUCCAGCAGCCCAGCAGGGAAUGUGAAAUGAGCUCUUCUCUGUCUCCUCCAUGUGGCACCAAUCCCACCGUGUUUAAAAUUAGGGCCCACUUACCCUUUCACUGGAUUUCAGUCUCUAAAUAUACACAUUUAAAAAUCUAAA
This is a long non-coding RNA of Camelus dromedarius (Arabian camel), 4562 nucleotides long. RefSeq lists it as uncharacterized. The record is from RefSeq and is a predicted model, not a curated record. Lineage: Eukaryota; Metazoa; Chordata; Mammalia; Artiodactyla; Camelidae. The transcript has 5 exons.